RNAcentral lists this transfer RNA (62 nucleotides) under Cyamus erraticus. RNAcentral describes it as "tRNA-Lys". Lineage: Eukaryota; Metazoa; Arthropoda; Malacostraca; Amphipoda; Cyamidae. The record is from RNAcentral. RNAcentral also lists the same sequence under 1 other name.
UACUAGGUGGCCGAUUUAAGGUGUAAGUCUUUUAAACUUAUUAUAGAUAUCUCUUCUAGUAA